GAAAGCAGAGGAUCCGAGGGGGGAAUCGGAGGAGAUGCGUGCGGGGCGGCCGCAUCUGUCCAUCACUUUUUUUUGUUUAUGGUGAAUAAAAGUGCCUCCAUGGUUCAUGAAGGCGCCUUCAGUAAUGUAGCAUAAUGGAAGGGAGAGGGUGGCAUCGCAUCGCAUUCAAUGCGUGCUUUCUCCGUCGUGUCUCUCUUUCUUUUUAAAAAUAAUGCC
RNAcentral lists this long non-coding RNA (216 nucleotides) under Elaeis guineensis (African oil palm). Its description in RNAcentral is "long non-coding RNA (EGUI_LNC016616)". The record is from RNAcentral. Lineage: Eukaryota; Viridiplantae; Streptophyta; Magnoliopsida; Arecales; Arecaceae.